AUAUCUCUCCGUACGGGAAGGAUGAGAAGCUUCGACUAAGGUUCGAUUCGAGCGCAGCGAGAAAGCGUUGCCGCAGGCAACGACCCGAAGGGCGAAGCG
RNAcentral lists this small RNA (99 nucleotides) under Salmonella enterica. Its description in RNAcentral is "partial RtT sRNA". It matches the Rfam family "RtT RNA", at positions 1 to 98 of the family's 130-position model. From Rfam's summary of the family: This family represents a bacterial cis-regulatory element known as RtT RNA. The exact function of RtT is unknown although it is thought that it may be involved in changing the cellular response in relation to amino acid starvation. Lineage: Bacteria; Pseudomonadati; Pseudomonadota; Gammaproteobacteria; Enterobacterales; Enterobacteriaceae. RNAcentral also lists the same sequence under 1 other name. The record is from RNAcentral.